UGCCAGCCGCCGCGGUAAUACGGAGGGUCCGAGCGUUAAUCGGAAUUACUGGGCGUAAAGCGUACGCAGGCGGUUUGUUAAGCGAGAUGUGAAAGCCCCGGGCUCAACCUGGGAACUGCAUUUCGAACUGGCAAACUAGAGUUUUGUAGAGGGUGGUAGAAUUUCAGGUGUAGCGGUGAAAUGCGUAGAGAUCUGAAGGAAUACCAGUGGCGAAGGCGGCCACCUGGACAAAAACUGACGCUCAUGUACGAAAGCCAGGGGAGCGAAAGGGAUUAGAUA
RNAcentral lists this ribosomal RNA (279 nucleotides) under uncultured bacterium. RNAcentral's name for it is "partial 16S ribosomal RNA". It matches the Rfam family "Bacterial small subunit ribosomal RNA", at positions 506 to 784 of the family's 1533-position model. The record is from RNAcentral.